This 208-nucleotide long non-coding RNA is filed under the name Elaeis guineensis (African oil palm). RNAcentral describes it as "long non-coding RNA (EGUI_LNC031438)". Lineage: Eukaryota; Viridiplantae; Streptophyta; Magnoliopsida; Arecales; Arecaceae. The record is from RNAcentral.
UUGUGAGUGAAACUUCUGAAACUUGACACAUGACAUCAAUUCUAGAUAGUCGACUAUUGGUAAUAGAUAAUUAUAACAUUUACUCCAUCCUUUUAUAAAUCAUUAUCAACUUUAGCUAUGUUUUAUAUAUGGCACUACAGCCAUACUAUAUCUAUUAUAUGAGGGAAGAACAUAUUAUUUGAGAUUCUAUCUUUCAAAUUUUGCGACU